GUUUUUGAGUGGUGUACUGUGGACUCCCGACUUCUGUGGGCUUUCCUUUCUUUCUUUUCCAUUGCGGAGGUGGUUGAAUAAUGUAGGUCUAAUGUAAUUCUAAUGCCGAACAGCUAUUUAGAAAUGGUCCAAUGUAUGCUAUAGAAAAAGAGCUAGAUAUAAAAAGUCAAAUGCAUUGUGUGGAAGACUUGCUAGCUAACCUACCAGUGCAAGGUUUGGAGAAAGAAAAGUUGAGAUGGGAGUUCGUUAAAGAGAAGCCACAAGGAAGAUCAAGAAUAACUAAAAAUUUGUUGAAUAAAGAAGAGUUACGCUUGCUUAAAAAAACUAAGCAAUGGAUGGCAAGUGAGGGUAUUAUAAUCACACUUGAGGACAAAACCAAAAG
Molecule: long non-coding RNA, 382 nt
Filed under: Androctonus crassicauda
Lineage: Eukaryota; Metazoa; Arthropoda; Arachnida; Scorpiones; Buthidae
Source: RNAcentral